Long non-coding RNA from Thalassophryne amazonica, 297 nucleotides. RefSeq lists it as uncharacterized. NCBI's taxonomy places the organism in Eukaryota, Metazoa, Chordata, Actinopteri, Batrachoidiformes, Batrachoididae. The record is from RefSeq and is a predicted model, not a curated record. The transcript has 3 exons.
AUAGAAAGGAAGGAAGAACGUCCGGCAUCGUAUCUGAAGUUUCCCAGUACAAAGUAAAAUAACGUUUUAUAGCCACGUUCAUCAAAAUAUCCUCGUUUAAUUACUCUGAUUAUGACGAAAUAAAGACGCCUCUUAGUUGUUGGAUGAAAUUUUGGUGAGGAAAAGCAGCAUGGAAGGGUCCUCGGAGGCGGAACCCCCCCAGAUCAUCCAGAUGACCACCAACGAAAAGGUGGUGGAGCUUCUGAAUCAAGCUGCUCUGACACCUACAGAUGAAAAGCUAACAGUGCUCAAACAGGU